GUGUCCGGCACGGGGCAGCCCCGGUCUCUCCUCCCAGAGCCCCCCACAGUCACCACUCCUGACCACUUAAGGUCUGCCCACAAUAUAAAGCUCAAUAAACAACUUGCAUUAUUUGUGAGAAACAGCACUUUGGUUCCAGGUUGAGACUGUGCCCAGAUUGUCAGUUUAGGGCAUGAAGAUGGUUGUCAUCUCCUGUUUGGGACUCAGGGAAAGAGAUGGAUUUACUGAAACAGAGGCAUCAUCAACUGCAAGGCAUCUUCUGGUCACUUCCCUCUGCUGUAGUGCUACUCAGAAGUUGUCCCAACACUGAUUGAUUCAGGAGUUUGAG
Long non-coding RNA from Chiroxiphia lanceolata (lance-tailed manakin), 328 nucleotides. RefSeq lists it as uncharacterized. The record is from RefSeq and is a predicted model, not a curated record. NCBI's taxonomy places the organism in Eukaryota, Metazoa, Chordata, Aves, Passeriformes, Pipridae. The transcript is spliced from 3 exons.